UACGUAGGGGGCAAGCGUUGUCCGGAAUCAUUGGGCGUAAAGAGCGUGUAGGCGGCCCGGUAAGUCCGCUGUGAAAGUCCAGGGCUCAACCCUGGGAUGCCGGUGGAUACUGUCGGGCUCGAGUCCGGAAGAGGAGUGUGGAAUUCCUGGUGUAGCGGUGAAAUGCGCAGAUAUCAGGAGGAACACCGAUGGCGAAGGCAGGUCUCUGGGCUGACACUGACGCUCAUGCACGAAAGCGUGGGGAGCAAACAGG
This 253-nucleotide ribosomal RNA is filed under the name uncultured bacterium. RNAcentral describes it as "partial 16S ribosomal RNA". It matches the Rfam family "Bacterial small subunit ribosomal RNA", at positions 524 to 776 of the family's 1533-position model. The record is from RNAcentral.